Molecule: long non-coding RNA, 453 nt
Filed under: Ficedula albicollis (Collared flycatcher)
Lineage: Eukaryota; Metazoa; Chordata; Aves; Passeriformes; Muscicapidae
Description: lncRNA (ENSFALG00000024545.1)
Source: RNAcentral
AGCAGGGUGACACUGAUCUGUCACACAGGGCAGUGGUGACACUGAUCUGUCACACAGGGCAGGGUGACACUGAUCUGUCACACAGGGCAGGGUGACACUGAUCUGUCACACAGGGCAGGGUGACACUGAUCUGUCACACAGGGCAGGGUGACACUGAUCUGUCACACAGGGCAGGGUGACACUGAUCUGUCACACAGGGCAGGGUGACACUGAUCUGUCACACAGGGCAGGGUGACACUGAUCUGUCACACAGGGCAGGGUGACACUGAUCUGUCACACAGGGCAGGGUGACACUGAUCUGUCACACAGGGCAGGGUGACACUGAUCUGUCACACAGGGCAGGGUGACACUGAUCUGUCACACAGGGCAGGGUGACACUGAUCUGUCACACAGGGCAGGGUGACACUGAUCUGUCACACAGGGCAGGGUGACACUGAUCUGUCACACAGGGCA